This 163-nucleotide small nuclear RNA is filed under the name Castor canadensis (American beaver). RNAcentral's name for it is "U1 spliceosomal RNA (ENSCCNG00000021481.1)". It matches the Rfam family "U1 spliceosomal RNA". Rfam says of the family: U1 is a small nuclear RNA (snRNA) component of the spliceosome (involved in pre-mRNA splicing). Its 5' end forms complementary base pairs with the 5' splice junction, thus defining the 5' donor site of an intron. The record is from Rfam by way of RNAcentral. Lineage: Eukaryota; Metazoa; Chordata; Mammalia; Rodentia; Castoridae.
AUACUUACCUGGCAGGGGAGAUACCAUGAUCAUGAAGGUGGUUUUCCCAAGGCGAGGCUUAUCCAUUGCACUCCGAAGUGCUGACCCCUGCGAUUUCCCCAAAUAUGGCAAACUCAACUGCAUAAUUUGUGGUAGUGGGGGACUGCGUUCAUGCUUUCCCCUG